GUUCUUAUAGUUGAAUAACAACGUGGUUUUU
Molecule: transfer RNA, 31 nt
Filed under: Macruronus novaezelandiae (blue grenadier)
Lineage: Eukaryota; Metazoa; Chordata; Actinopteri; Gadiformes; Merlucciidae
Description: partial tRNA-Glu
Source: RNAcentral